Molecule: ribosomal RNA, 800 nt
Filed under: uncultured bacterium
Lineage: Bacteria
Description: bacterial SSU rRNA
Rfam family: Bacterial small subunit ribosomal RNA
Source: RNAcentral
CGAAUUCGCCCUUAGAGUUUGAUCCUGGCUCAGGAUGAACGCUAGCGGCAGGCUUAACACAUGCAAGUCGAGGGGCAGCGGGGUGUAGCAAUACAUCGCCGGCGACCGGCGCACGGGUGCGUAACACGUAUGGAACUUGCCCUUUACUGGGGGAUAGCCCGGAGAAAUCCGGAUUAAUACCCCAUAACAAGCGGAGUGGCAUCACUCUGCUUUGAAAGCUCCGGCGGUAAAGGAUGGCCAUGCGCCCGAUUAGCUAGUUGGUGAGGUAACGGCUCACCAAGGCUAUGAUCGGUAGGGGGCCUGAGAGGGUUAUCCCCCACACUGGUACUGAGACACGGACCAGACUCCUACGGGAGGCAGCAGUGAGGAAUAUUGCGCAAUGGAGGCAACUCUGACGCAGCCAUGCCGCGUGCAGGAAGAAGGCGCUACGCGUUGUAAACUGCUUUUAUCCGGGAAGAAACCCCUUCACGUGUGGAGGGUUGACGGUACCGGAGGAAUAAGCACCGGCUAACUUCGUGCCAGCAGCCGCGGUAAUACGAAGGGUGCAAGCGUUAUCCGGAUUCAUUGGGUUUAAAGGGUGCGUAGGCGGAGCGUUAAGUCAGUGGUGAAAUCCUGCAGCUCAACUGUAGACUUGCCAUUGAUACUGGCGCUCUUGAGUGCGCUUGAAGUAGGCGGAAUGUGCCGUGUAGCGGUGAAAUGCUUAGAUAUGGCACAGAACACCAAUUGCGAAGGCAGCUUACUAAGGCGAUACUGACGCUGAGGCACGAAAGCGUGGGGAUCGAACAGGAUUAGAUACCCUG